UGGAAAUGAGGAAAAUAAAGCUACGCAAGUCUCGAUUUUUUUGUGAAGACUUCAGAUCCAACUCUGAUCCUGCUGGCGGC
This is a small nucleolar RNA of Salarias fasciatus (jewelled blenny), 80 nucleotides long. Lineage: Eukaryota; Metazoa; Chordata; Actinopteri; Blenniiformes; Blenniidae. The record is from Ensembl.